RNAcentral lists this ribosomal RNA (599 nucleotides) under uncultured bacterium. RNAcentral's name for it is "bacterial SSU rRNA". It matches the Rfam family "Bacterial small subunit ribosomal RNA", at positions 917 to 1519 of the family's 1533-position model. The record is from RNAcentral.
GGGCCCGCACAAGCGGUGGAGCAUGUGGUUUAAUUCGACGCAACGCGCAGAACCUUACCAGGGUUUGACAUCCUGUGCUCACUGGUGAAAGCCAGUUUCCCCGCAAGGGCGCAGAGACAGGUGCUGCAUGGCUGUCGUCAGCUCGUGUCGUGAGAUGUUGGGUUAAGUCCCGCAACGAGCGCAACCCUCGCCUUUAGUUGCCAUCAUUCAGUUGGGCACUCUAGAGGGACCGCCGGCGGCAAGCCGGAGGAAGGUGGGGAUGACGUCAAGUCCUCAUGGCCCUUACACCCUGGGCUACACACGUGCUACAAUGGCGGUGACAAUGGGCAGCUACUUCGCGAGAAGAUGCUAAUCCCAAAAAACCGUCCCAGUUCAGAUUGUACUCUGCAACUCGGGUACAUGAAGGUGGAAUCGCUAGUAAUCGCAGAACAGCAGGCUGCGGUGAAUACGUUCCCGGGCCUUGUACACACCGCCCGUCACGGCAUGGGAGUUGGUUUUACCCGAAGACGGUGCGCUAACCGCAAGGAGGCAGCCGGCCACGGUAGGAUCAGCGACUGGGCCGAAGUCGUAACAAGGUAGCCGUAGGGGAACCUGCGGCU